Non-coding RNA from Terramyces sp. JEL0728, 74 nucleotides. NCBI's taxonomy places the organism in Eukaryota, Fungi, Chytridiomycota, Chytridiomycetes, Rhizophydiales, Terramycetaceae. The record is from the annotation of a GenBank genome assembly.
GGUCGCUUGGAGAAGUGGUUUAACUCGCUUCCUUCACACGGAAGAGACCGCCGGUUCGAACCCGGCAGUGACCA